GUGUUCUUGCUUCGGCAGCACAUAUACUAAAAUUGGAACGAUACAGAGAAGAUUAACAUGGCUCCUGCGCAAGGACGACACGCAGAAUCGUGAAGCGUUCCAAGAUGUG
RNAcentral lists this small nuclear RNA (109 nucleotides) under Rhagoletis pomonella (apple maggot). Lineage: Eukaryota; Metazoa; Arthropoda; Insecta; Diptera; Tephritidae. The record is from RNAcentral.